CACACGUGUCAUGAAGAUAUUCAAGUCCGUGGAGGUUUUUUUUUCCCAAAGGACAAAGAGGAGCCGCAGCCAGGAACAGCGCUCGCACGCGCUUGAGAGACGAGGCUGGCCGGCCCAGAGGGCUGCUUAGGGAGAGGGGGCCUGUUCCAUCACCCCCUUUUCCCCAGUGCCCCACGUGGCUGGGGUAACCCAGGAAUAAGCACGGGAGUAGAGGAACAUCUGGUCUGUGAACCUGUAACCCGGAGAGCAGCCUGGAACAGCCAGGCGAGCGACACCAUGGCCUGCUUGUCACCAGAGUUGCCCGCCUUCCCGUGAGUUAGGAAGUACAUGCUGUUCGGUAUUUUAGAGGGAGCCAAGGAGAGAAAAGAAGACAGGCCCGGAGACUCUGAUGGAACAGGCCCCCUGUGCCUCUACAGGUCGCGUCUCGCCUCACAGGCCUCAGCCCUGGGAGCUUAUGUCCCCGCGGUGUCGGCUCGGCUCUGACUUAACCCACUGAGAAUGAAACCACAUUGCUGGAUGUUGGCAGACCAACAGGGUACUUUCAAAGAAAAUGACCACCUGGAGUUUAUGGGAAAUCACCUCUGGCUUACAAAUGCAAAUUCUUAAGUGACAGGUCACAUGUACCCUCCCAGAACAAGGGCUCCUGGCGCAGGGAUUCUCUGCUGAGGGGGAGAGGAGUCAUCCUUCUGGGAGCCGCACCUCCUGAAGCUGCCAUCACAUGGCUUAGUGUCCCGUGCCCUCAUCUCGCCCAGCUUAUCGCAGAUGCAGGAACUGAGGCCCUGGGAAAGUCAGGAGUUUGCUCAGGUUCCAAGAGCCAAACUACUGAAAAGAAAGACUGGGGCGAUGUGCUCUGGCCCCCAGGCCUGUGGCUUUGUGGGGUCGUUUUGCUCUCCGUGUUAGAUCUCACCCCAGGAGAUUCACAGGGAGGGCCAGAGAGAUGCCGCCUCUUAAGUCAUUAGGGUGCCAGACCACGAAGUGGAUGUCCCCUCAAAA
This is a non-coding RNA of Manis javanica (Malayan pangolin), 993 nucleotides long. NCBI's taxonomy places the organism in Eukaryota, Metazoa, Chordata, Mammalia, Pholidota, Manidae. The record is from RefSeq and is a predicted model, not a curated record.